AGAAAUAUGAAGAUCAAGAAAAAGCUGCUAACUCUUUUCUUUAGUGGUUUAAUUCCAUUAAUAUUUCUAU
This 70-nucleotide transfer RNA is filed under the name Nymphes myrmeleonoides. RNAcentral describes it as "tRNA-Ser". Lineage: Eukaryota; Metazoa; Arthropoda; Insecta; Neuroptera; Nymphidae. The record is from RNAcentral.